UUCACUUCCUCUUAGAAUCCUUCUUCAUAUGACACCCCUAAUUAGGCUCAAAAAGCAUUGAGAAAGGAGGGCAGUGAAGAGAUAUUUUUAUCAGUUACUGCAUUUUGAAAGAGCACUUGCAAUAAAACAAAAGGGAAAGAACCAGUGGAUAGAAGAUUCCUGAGAGGAGAACAAGGGAAGGAAUAGCAGAAGAGUGAGGACUUUCAAGCACAGAUGCAGGCAAAUGCCUCAAACUCCUAUUGUGAGGGAAACAAGAAAGCACCUUAUGUCCAGCCUGAGAAGGCACUUGUUAAGACUGCUAUUGAUAGGAGAGACAGUUUCAUCCUUACAAGAAAGACUCAAGAGCAUCUUCACUGUAACCACAGAGACUUGAUCACAGGCUUUACUCUUCAUCCA
Manacus vitellinus (golden-collared manakin) is the source of this 396-nucleotide long non-coding RNA. RefSeq lists it as uncharacterized. The transcript has 3 exons. NCBI's taxonomy places the organism in Eukaryota, Metazoa, Chordata, Aves, Passeriformes, Pipridae. The record is from RefSeq and is a predicted model, not a curated record.